Molecule: ribosomal RNA, 507 nt
Filed under: uncultured bacterium
Lineage: Bacteria
Description: partial 16S ribosomal RNA
Rfam family: Bacterial small subunit ribosomal RNA
Source: RNAcentral
GACGAACGCUGGCGGCGUGCUUAACACAUGCAAGUCGAACGGGCCUUGUCCCCUUUUUUUUGGGGGUGGGGUUAGUGGCGAACGGGUGAGUAACACGUGAGUAACCUGCCCCUCACUUCUGGAUAACCGCUUGAAAGGGUGGCUAAUACGGGGUGUUCUGGCCUGCUCGCAUGGGUGGGUUUGGAAAGAUUCGACCGGUUUUGGUUGUUUUGGUGGGGGAUGGGCUCGCGGCCUAUCAGCUUGUUGGUGGGGUGAUGGCCUGCCAAGGCUUUGACGGGUAGCCGGCCUGCGAGGGUGGGCGGUCACACUGGGACUGAGACACGGCCCAGACUCCUACGGGAGGCAGCAGUGGGGAAUAUUGCACAAUGGGCGCAAGCCUGAUGCAGCGACGCCGCGUGAGGGAUGGAGGCCUUCGGGUUGUGAACCUCUUUCGCCAGUGAAGAAGGUCCUGCUCUUUGUGGUGGGGUUGACGGUAGCUGGGUUAAUGAAGCGCCGGCUAACUACGUG